This 73-nucleotide transfer RNA is filed under the name Candidatus Schekmanbacteria bacterium. RNAcentral's name for it is "tRNA-Ala". It matches the Rfam family "tRNA". Rfam says of the family: Transfer RNA (tRNA) molecules are approximately 80 nucleotides in length. The record is from RNAcentral. Lineage: Bacteria; Candidatus Schekmaniibacteriota.
GGGGGUGUAGCUCAGCUGGGAGAGCACCUGCCUUGCACGCAGGGGGUCAGCGGUUCGAACCCGCUCACCUCCA